Molecule: ribosomal RNA, 273 nt
Filed under: uncultured bacterium
Lineage: Bacteria
Description: partial 16S ribosomal RNA
Rfam family: Bacterial small subunit ribosomal RNA
Source: RNAcentral
CUACGGAGGGUGCAAGCGUUACUCGGAAUCACUGGGCGUAAAGCGCGCGCAGGCGGCUAUUUAAGUUGGAUGUGAAAGCCUAUGGCUCAACCAUAGAACUGCAUCCAAAACUAUUUAGCUAGAGUGUGGGAGAGGAGAUGGAAUUAGUUGUGUAGGGGUAAAAUCCGUAGAGAUAACUAGGAAUACCAAAAGCGAAGGCAAUCUUCUGGAACACUACUGACGCUGAGGCGCGAAAGCGUGGGGAGCAAACAGGAUUAGAAACCCUAGUAGUCC